UCAAGCGAACAAGUGCAUGUGGUGGAUGCCUUGGCGAUCACAGGCGAUGAAGGACGCGGUAGCCUGCGAAAAGCUACGGGGAGCUGGCAAACGAGCUUUGAUCCGUAGAUGUCCGAAUGGGGAAACCCGGCCCUUUUGGGUCAUCCUGGACUGAAUACAUAGGUCCAGUGAAGCGAACGCGGUGAACUGAAACAUCUAAGUAACCGCAGGAAAAGAAAUCAACCGAGAUUCCCAAAGUAGUGGCGAGCGAAAUGGGAUGAGCCUUGCACUCUUUAUUUGUAUUGUUAGCCGAACGCUCUGGAAAGUGCGGCCAUAGCAGGUGAUAGCCCUGUAGGCGAAAACAGUAUGAAAGAACUAGGUGUGCGACAAGUAGGGCGGGACACGUGAAAUCCUGUCUGAAGAUGGGGGGACCAUCCUCCAAGGCUAAAUACUCGUGAUCGACCGAUAGUGAACCAGUACCGUGAGGGAAAGGCGAAAAGAACCCCGGGAGGGGAGUGAAAUAGAUCCUGAAACCGCAUGCAUACAAACAGUCGGAGCCUCGCAAGGGGUGACGGCGUACCUUUUGUAUAAUGGGUCAGCGACUUACGUUCAGUAGCAAGCUUAACCGUAUAGGGCAGGAGUAUCGAAAGAGAGUCCUAAUAUGGCGUUAAUUUGCUGGGCGUAGACCCGAAACCAGGUGAUCUAUCCAUGGCCAGGAUGAAGGUGCGGUAACACGUACUGGAGGUCCGAACCCACUAACGUUGAAAAGUUAGGGGAUGAGCUGUGGAUAGGGGUGAAAGGCUAAACAAACCUGGAAAUAGCUGGUUCUCUCCGAAAACUAUUUAGGUAGUGCCUCGUGUCUCACCUUCGGGGGUAGAGCACUGUCAUGGUUGGGGGGUCUAUUGCAGAUUACCCCGCCAUAGCAAACUCCGAAUACCGAAGAGUGCAAUCACGGGAGACAGACAUCGGGUGCUAACGUCCGGUGUCAAGAGGGAAACAACCCAGACCGCCAGCUAAGGUCCCCAAAUAUAGCUAAGUGGGAAACGAAGUGGGAAGGCUAAAACAGUCAGGAGGUUGGCUUAGAAGCAGCCACCCUUUAAAGAAAGCGUAAUAGCUCACUGAUCGAGUCGUCCUGCGCGGAAGAUGUAACGGGGCUAAGCUAUAUACCGAAGCUGCGGAUGCGAGCUUGCUCGCAUGGUAGGAGAGCGUUCCGUAAGCCUGCGAAGGUGCCUUGUAAAGGGUGCUGGAGGUAUCGGAAGUGCGAAUGCUGACAUGAGUAGCGAUAAAGGGGGUGAAAGGCCCCCUCGCCGUAAGCCCAAGGUUUCCUACGCAACGUUCAUCGGCGUAGGGUGAGUCGGCCCCUAAGGCGAGGCAGAAAUGCGUAGCUGAUGGGAAGCAGGUCAAUAUUCCUGCACCAUUGUUAGAUGCGAUGGGGGGACGGAUCGCGGAAGGUUGUCCGGGUGUUGGAAGUCCCGGUCGCUGCAUUGGAGAAGGCGCUUAGGCAAAUCCGGGCGCGCAAUUCAAGGGUGUGGCGCGAGCUCCUUAGGGAGCGAAGCAAUUGGAAGUGGUUCCAAGAAAAGCCUCUAAGCUUCAGUCUAACGAUGACCGUACCGCAAACCGACACAGGUGGGCGAGAUGAGUAUUCUAAGGCGCUUGAGAGAACUCGGGAGAAGGAACUCGGCAAAUUGGUACCGUAACUUCGGGAUAAGGUACGCCCUUGUAGCUUGACUGGCCUGCGCCAGGAGGGUGAAGGGGUUGCAAUAAACUGGUGGCUGCGACUGUUUAAUAAAAACACAGCACUCUGCAAACACGAAAGUGGACGUAUAGGGUGUGACGCCUGCCCGGUGCCGGAAGAUUAAAUGAUGGGGUGCAAGCUCUUGAUUGAAGUCCCGGUAAACGGCGGCCGUAACUAUAACGGUCCUAAGGUAGCGAAAUUCCUUGUCGGGUAAGUUCCGACCUGCACGAAUGGCGUAACGAUGGCCACACUGUCUCCUCCCGAGACUCAGCGAAGUUGAAGUGUUUGUGAUGAUGCAAUCUACCCGCGGCUAGACGGAAAGACCCCAUGAACCUUUACUGUAGCUUUGCAUUGGACUUUGAACCGAUCUGUGUAGGAUAGGUGGGAGGCUAUGAAACCGGAACGCUAGUUUCGGUGGAGCCGUCCUUGAAAUACCACCCUGGUUUGUUUGAGGUUCUAACCUUGGCCCGUGAUCCGGGUCGGGGACAGUGCAUGGUAGGCAGUUUGACUGGGGCGGUCUCCUCCCAAAGCGUAACGGAGGAGUACGAAGGUACGCUAGGUACGGUCGGAAAUCGUGCUGAUAGUGCAAUGGCAUAAGCGUGCUUAACUGCGAGACCGACAAGUCGAGCAGGUGCGAAAGCAGGUCAUAGUGAUCCGGUGGUUCUGUAUGGAAGGGCCAUCGCUCAACGGAUAAAAGGUACUCUGGGGAUAACAGGCUGAUACCGCCCAAGAGUUCAUAUCGACGGCGGUGUUUGGCACCUCGAUGUCGGCUCAUCUCAUCCUGGGGCUGUAGCCGGUCCCAAGGGUAUGGCUGUUCGCCAUUUAAAGAGGUACGUGAGCUGGGUUUAAAACGUCGUGAGACAGUUUGGUCCCUAUCUGCCGUGGGCGUUGGAUAUUUGAAGGGGGCUGCUCCUAGUACGAGAGGACCGGAGUGGACGAACCUCUGGUGUACCGGUUGUCACGCCAGUGGCAUCGCCGGGUAGCUAUGUUCGGAAGAGAUAACCGCUGAAAGCAUCUAAGCGGGAAACUCGCCUUAAGAUGAGAUAUCCCUGGGGACUAGAUCCCCUUGAAGGGUCGUUCGAGACCAGGACGUUGAUAGGUCAGGUGUGUAAGCGCAGUAAUGCGUUCAGCUAACUGAUACUAAUUGCCCGUAAGGCUUGAUCC
This 2878-nucleotide ribosomal RNA is filed under the name Burkholderia sola. Its description in RNAcentral is "23S ribosomal RNA". It matches the Rfam family "Bacterial large subunit ribosomal RNA". The record is from RNAcentral. Lineage: Bacteria; Pseudomonadati; Pseudomonadota; Betaproteobacteria; Burkholderiales; Burkholderiaceae.